GGGAUGGUGACACAUAUACCAGUCUGCAGCUUUCCAACAUCAGCCCUGAAUAUGACGUGCUGCAGGUAAAAAACAAGCAUCAGAAACACACAGGGACUACACAAGAAGAGAACGAUGAUUACCAGAACCCUGAAGAUGGAAACAGACCUGAUUCAGGGGCUAAUUAAAAAUAGCAAGGCUGAAGAUCAGAGAGGGCUCCCGUUCAACGGCGUGAACUUCGGUCUAAACCCACAUGAGAAUCAUAUUCAGUUUUAAAGGGGCAGUUCACCCGAAAAUGAAAGAAAGCUGCGUUUCAUCUUACCAGGAGUGCUAUCUUUCCAUCCAGGUAGUUUUUCUGAGAUUUGAUGUGAUGUUAAACUUUCUGUUUUCCUCUAUCUUUCUCUCACUCUCUCAUCUCUCUCUCUUUUUCUCUCUCUCUCUUCCCCACUUAUUUAAAGCACUGUGCUUAUGUAUUUAUGAUGAAAAAAGGUUAUUUUUCAAGGUUUUUCUGACCCAAGUUAAUUGUACUGUUUUUACUGGCACAAUUUAAAAAGGGUCUCUUGAGUGAGAUGGACUAAAAGGAACUUUUACUGUCUUGCAAAGAAAGCUGGGGGAGAACAGGUCUUAAACAUAAGUGCAUUCCUUUUGCAGUCUUUUUGAAGUUGUAUAUAAAAUAAGGGCAGGACUAAUUGAGGUAUGUACUGUUGUUUUUUUUGCUGUAAAAUUAAGGAAAAAACAAACAAAAAUAAACUUCUGUUCCAUAGCAAUUUGAAUUAUGUACAGUAAAAAGUGUUACUCUAACAGGAUUUAUGUUGUCAAAAAGGGAUAAAAUGUAUUUGCUGGUUUGACAUUGAACGUUUAAGUGUACAGGUGUGGAUUUACUGUUAAAAAAAAUCAAAUUCUGAUUUGAUUAUGAACUGUCCACUAAAACUGUCUAGGUUCAUAUUAGAAGCUUUCUUUAAAGUAAAAAAAAAUGUUUUUAGUUUACUUUAU
Anguilla rostrata (American eel) is the source of this 972-nucleotide long non-coding RNA. RefSeq lists it as uncharacterized. The record is from RefSeq and is a predicted model, not a curated record. The transcript has 3 exons. NCBI's taxonomy places the organism in Eukaryota, Metazoa, Chordata, Actinopteri, Anguilliformes, Anguillidae.